ACGCUCGACACCUACGGGAGCAGCAGUGGGGAAUAUUGCACAAUGGGGGAAACCCUGAUGCAGCGACGCCGCGUGAAGGAAGAAGUAUCUCGGUAUGUAAACUUCUAUCAGCAGGGAAGAAAAUGACGGUACCUGACUAAGAAGCCCCGGCUAACUACGUGCUAGCAGCCGCGUAAUCUGAGCGGGCUGGCAAGGC
This 196-nucleotide ribosomal RNA is filed under the name uncultured bacterium. Its description in RNAcentral is "partial 16S ribosomal RNA". It matches the Rfam family "Bacterial small subunit ribosomal RNA", at positions 328 to 539 of the family's 1533-position model. The record is from RNAcentral.